RNAcentral lists this ribosomal RNA (831 nucleotides) under Dolichorhinotermes sp. 'Manaus'. RNAcentral's name for it is "partial 16S ribosomal RNA". Lineage: Eukaryota; Metazoa; Arthropoda; Insecta; Blattodea; Rhinotermitidae. The record is from RNAcentral.
UGUUUCCCGAUUUUGAGAGGAGUUAUUGGUAUAUUUUAGUUACUGUUUCAUUAGUAUUAAUAAUGUGCUGUUGGUAAUGAAAUGUUAUUCGUCUUUGUUGGUAUCUGGUUUUCCGAGAAAUGAAUUUAAUUCAUGCGUUUUAUUUAGAUUUAUUAUUGUUUUAUUUUAUUUUUAUAUUUCGUUAAGAUUAGGGGGGAUUAGCUCUCUAUUUUAUUUUUAUAACUUUUUAUUGUUUUAAUUCUUGUUGAUUUUAUAUUGAUUUUCAAUUUGAUUAUGUUAAAAUUUUAUUUUAUUUUUAUUUAAUUUGUCUUUGUUUAGGAUUUAUAUUGGAGUAUUCUUUUUAAUUAUGUUUUGUGUGGUAAUUAUUGUGAUAUUAGUAAAUUUUAUUUUAUCUUGUUUAAAUUUUUGGAUUUGUUAAUUUCUUCUGAGGAAUUAGGCAAAGGGUUUGUGUUCGCCUGUUUAACAAAAACAUCUUUUCUUGUUAGUUUUUGAAGUAUGGUCUGCCCACUGAUUUUUUGAAGGGCCGCGGUAUUUUGACCGUGCAAAGGUAGCAUAAUCAUUAGUUCUUUAAUUGUGAUCUGGAAUGAAUGGCUUGACGAGAUGCAAGCUGUCUUAGGUUUUGAUGAAAGUUUUGUUGAAUUUGUUUUCUGAGUUAAAAUUCUUAGAUGUUUUUAUGGGACGAGAAGACCCUAUAGAGUUUUGACAUCCUUUUGUAUUAUUAUAUGUUGUUUGUUGUUUUUUUUAAUGGAUUUGUGAUGUUUUGUUGGGGUGAUGGGAAGAAUUUAAUUAACUCUUCUUUUCUUUAUUACAUUUAUUUGUGGUCAUUUUGAU